This 451-nucleotide ribosomal RNA is filed under the name uncultured bacterium. RNAcentral describes it as "partial 16S ribosomal RNA". It matches the Rfam family "Bacterial small subunit ribosomal RNA", at positions 29 to 523 of the family's 1533-position model. The record is from RNAcentral.
AACGAACGCUGGCGGCAGGCCUAACACAUGCAAGUCGAACGGGUGUAGCAAUACAUCAGUGGCGCACGGGAGAGUAACGCGUGGGAACCUACCUUUUGGUUCGGAAUAACGUCGGGAAACUGACGCUAAUACCGGAUAAGCCCUACGGGGGAAAGAUUUAUCGCCGAAAGAUGGGCCCGCGUUAGAUUAGCUUGUUGGUGAGGUAACGGCUCACCAAGGCUACGAUCUAUAGCUGGUCCAAGAGGAUGAUCAGCCUCACUGGGACUGAGACACGGCCCAGACUCCUACGGGAGGCAGCAGUGGGGAAUAUUGGACAAUGGGGGCAACCCUGAUCCAGCCAUGCCGCGUGAAUGAUGAAGGCCUUCGGGUUGUAAAGUUCUUUUGGCGGGGACGAUGAUGACGGUACCCGCAGAAUAAGCUCCGGCUAACUUCGUGCCAGCCGCCGCCGUAA